CAGGGGUUGUUGUGUCGCUGCCGAUGAACACGCGUAGGGAGCCGACGUGUGGAAGCAGGGAAGGUCAUGGGCUAGCUCCUCGUCGUCGGCGAGGCCUACACCGGCUGAAUCGACGAAGGCCUGUGCACGUGCUGUGUUCAAGAGGACAGAGGAAGGGGACGACACAUUGGGCCCCUCUAUAAGUGAGAUAGAGUGUGAGAGGUAUUUUGGUCUAUACAAAAAUAUAAAAUUCUCGGUACACCUGCACAUGGGCCCAAAGAUGCCAUAUAUGUAUAUAAUGGCAUAUUUUCAGCUUUGACAAAAAUUAUAAUGGCAGUACCAUAGUUCCGAUAAAGUUAUAAUGACACAGUUCUAAUUAACCCUUAUUAGAAAGGUUUAGCUCUCUAGUGAUAGUGCAACACUACGGCCUUUUAUAGCAAAAACAGUGCAUAAGAAUCUUCUAUAAUAUGU
Molecule: long non-coding RNA, 450 nt
Filed under: Sorghum bicolor (sorghum)
Lineage: Eukaryota; Viridiplantae; Streptophyta; Magnoliopsida; Poales; Poaceae
Description: long non-coding RNA (SBIC_LNC016662)
Source: RNAcentral